CGUACGUAGCCGUUCAACAGCGUUCACGCCGUACGGAAACCCACACAACAACAAUGGAGGACUUCAUUGGAGUGGUGUUCAUGGCUUUACUAGUGUGUCUCGCCAUCGCUUAACAGCAAAACCUUCUGUUAGAGGUUACCCAUCGGCGUCGCCGUUCCAAUGCCCGGCGAUCACGUUUGAGAAGAAAGAUGUUUUUAGAUGUCACCCCGCCCCCUGCCCGUGACGUGCUCGGCUCUCAACUCUGGCCACCUCUGGCCCAGCAACGAGUUGGUGCCCGAAACAGCCCCAGUUUUUGGAGCCCGGAGCCGCAGCUCCGGUGGUGGAAAGACAGAAAACCGGCGCCAAGUCGGGCACCGGCUCCGACUCCGAACGGGCUCCACCCCGGUCGAAAGCCCCUAAAAGUGGCCUCAGAUCGUGAUGCUGCUGGUUCUUACUCUUCAAAACAAGUUUAAACGUCAAAGAAAAUUGAUGGGCUCAUGACUGAAUUCUCAGCUUGUGCAGCGUUACAUUAAGAUGCCAACGGUGCCGCGUGAAAAUGUGUAAAUUGAUCUGAGAGGAGUGUAAGAUUUAUAGCAAAUUCCCAAAGUGGUUUCUAUUAGACAGGUGCACAACAUGUUUUCUAAAUGGGCAGAAUCAGCUCCGUUGGUUUAACCUCGUAAAUCAAACUCACGGACGGAGUGAAAAAUGAUCUUAGGAUUCCAUUAAACAUUCAUUAGAGUGUCUCUUUUAUAAUAAAUGAUGGAUCGGGCAAUUUCUGCACAUCCCAUCAGCUUUCUGAACAUGAAUUCAGGACACAGAGUUUAAGGCUGGAGCUCUGAUUGAGAAACUACAUCAUCUGAUAUCCAGUCAAACAGGUCCAUUAAUGAGGGAUCUGAAACUGUCAGAAAUGCUUACUUUGUUGAAGCAUGUUGAUUUUCUGCAUCACGCUGAAUCCACCGACUCUUCCCAGCAAACUAUGGAUGAGAACAGAAGAAAAGUUUACUAUGAACCUGCUGCAUCUUUAUUCAACCUUCUUCCAAAAAUGUCACAUUAACUGUCAGACACUACCUACCAAGAUCUGCGCUGCAUCCCAGUAUCAUCUGAAAUCACUGUAAAAAUCAAUAAUCUGACCCACUAAACACUAACUUCUCCUUCUGCUGAGCUGAGGAGGACAAGGACCUGAUUAGAUGUUUGUGGUGAAGCAGCUGCAGGACAAUCUCUAAAACAAAACGAGGUUUUUUGGAAAAGUUUAAACCUUCUGAGCCUAAAAUAGUCUCUGGGUGAAACAUUUCCCAAUUUAGGCUGUUUUUAAUCUGUGUUUAACCCUCCUGUUGUCCUCAUUUACAGGCACUAAAAAAUAUUGUUUCUUUCUCUGAAAAAAAUCUAAAAAUUCAGCAAAAAAAUUCCACAAAUUUAUGAGUUUGCAAAACCUUCAGGAAGAAAAUUCCAAUCAU
Amphiprion ocellaris (clown anemonefish) is the source of this 1433-nucleotide long non-coding RNA. NCBI's taxonomy places the organism in Eukaryota, Metazoa, Chordata, Actinopteri, Pomacentridae. The record is from Ensembl.